This 253-nucleotide ribosomal RNA is filed under the name uncultured bacterium. RNAcentral describes it as "partial 16S ribosomal RNA". It matches the Rfam family "Bacterial small subunit ribosomal RNA", at positions 524 to 776 of the family's 1533-position model. The record is from RNAcentral.
GACGAACCGUGCGAACGUUGUCCGGAUUUAUUGGGCGUAAAGAGCGUGUAGGCGGCCAGGUAGGUCUGCUGUGAAAACUCGAGGCUCAACCUCGAGACGUCGGCGGAAACCAUCUGGCUAGAGUCCGGAAGAGGAGAGUGGAAUUCCUGGUGUAGCGGUGAAAUGCGCAGAUAUCAGGAAGAACACCCGUGGCGAAGGCGGCUCUCUGGGACGGUACUGACGCUGAGACGCGAAAGCGUGGGGAGCGAACAGG